Molecule: ribosomal RNA, 330 nt
Filed under: uncultured eukaryote
Lineage: Eukaryota
Description: partial 18S ribosomal RNA
Rfam family: Eukaryotic small subunit ribosomal RNA
Source: RNAcentral
CCCUUAGAUGUCCUGGGCUGCACGCGCGCUACACUGGAAGUUACGGAUUGAGAUACUACCUUGUCCGAAAUGGUCCGGGUAAUCACCUAAAAGCUUGUCAUAAUUGGAAUGGAUUAUUGUAACUAGUAAUCCUGAACGAGGAAUUCCUAGUAAGUCCCAGUCAACAGCUGGUACUGAUUACGUCCCUGCCCUUUGUACACACCGCCCGUCGCACCUACCGAUUGGAUGGUCCGGUGAAGCCUCGGGAUUGUGGUUCUUGCCGCUUUAUUGUGGCGUGACCGCGAGAACUUGUCUAAACCUUAUCAUCUAGAGGAAGGUGAAGUCGUAACA